GGGUUUGUAGCUCAGUGGUAGAGCACUUCCUUACCAUGGGUGAAGCCUUGGGUUCAAUCCCCACUACCA
RNAcentral lists this transfer RNA (69 nucleotides) under Urocitellus parryii (Arctic ground squirrel). RNAcentral describes it as "Spermophilus parryii (Arctic ground squirrel) tRNA". It matches the Rfam family "tRNA". Rfam says of the family: Transfer RNA (tRNA) molecules are approximately 80 nucleotides in length. Their secondary structure includes four short double-helical elements and three loops (D, anti-codon, and T loops). The record is from Rfam by way of RNAcentral. Lineage: Eukaryota; Metazoa; Chordata; Mammalia; Rodentia; Sciuridae. RNAcentral also lists the same sequence under 2 other names.